UAUUCAGAUUGGUGCCUGUCAUGUUUAUAAGAAUGAAAGACGCCAAACUGGGUAGA
RNAcentral lists this microRNA precursor (56 nucleotides) under Rattus norvegicus (Norway rat). RNAcentral's name for it is "Rno-Mir-506-P24_pre stem-loop". The record is from RNAcentral. Lineage: Eukaryota; Metazoa; Chordata; Mammalia; Rodentia; Muridae.